UCACCAAGUAACACAGUGUACGAAAGCUGAACUACCGACAUCUCAACAACUGCCGGCAAGACAAAGAACAGAGUCAAUGCAAAGGAAAAAUUAUUAUGCAUGCUUAGUGAGAUAGAGUAAUUUUUUUUUGGCAAGAAUAAAUGACCGACAAAUAAAUACUCACCUAACCAACCGCAAGGAAUGUUAAGCCGAAAAUAACAGAGAGGGCAUUUUCUUUAAUCAUC
This 224-nucleotide long non-coding RNA is filed under the name Ananas comosus (pineapple). RNAcentral's name for it is "long non-coding RNA (ACOM_LNC039189)". The record is from RNAcentral. Lineage: Eukaryota; Viridiplantae; Streptophyta; Magnoliopsida; Poales; Bromeliaceae.